GAUGAACGCUAGCGGCAGGCUUAAUACAUGCAAGUUGAGGGGCAGCAUGAUAUACGCGAGUAUAUUGAUGGCGACCGGCGGACGGGUGAGUAAUAGGUAGGAGACCUACCUCAUACAGGGGGAUAGCAUAGAGAAAUCUGUGGUAAUACCCCAUGAGGUUAUAUGAAUAGAGGCAUAUAAUCAAAGCAUAAGCGAUUAUGCGGUAUGAGAGGGGCCUACUGACCAUUAGCUAGUUGGUGAGGUAAGGGCUCACCAAGGCGAAGAUGGUUAGGGGUUUUGAGAGAGAGACCCCCCACAUUGGAACUGAGAGACGGUCCAGACUCCUACGGGAGGCAGCAGUAGGGAAUAUUGGGCAAUGGGCGAAAGCCUGACCCAGCCAUGCCGCGUGAAGGAAGACGGCCUUAUGGGGUUGUAAACUUCUUUACUACGCGAAUAGAGGUUAGUACGAGAUACUAAUAGGAAGGUAGUGUAGUAAAAGCACCGGCUAACUCCGUG
This 495-nucleotide ribosomal RNA is filed under the name uncultured bacterium. Its description in RNAcentral is "bacterial SSU rRNA". It matches the Rfam family "Bacterial small subunit ribosomal RNA", at positions 28 to 507 of the family's 1533-position model. The record is from RNAcentral.